GCCCUUGGCUCAGUGGAUAGAGCGCCGGCCUGCAGACUGGGGGGGUCGUAGGUUCGAUUCCAGCCAAGGGCA
This 72-nucleotide transfer RNA is filed under the name Myotis davidii. It matches the Rfam family "tRNA". From Rfam's summary of the family: Transfer RNA (tRNA) molecules are approximately 80 nucleotides in length. Their secondary structure includes four short double-helical elements and three loops (D, anti-codon, and T loops). Lineage: Eukaryota; Metazoa; Chordata; Mammalia; Chiroptera; Vespertilionidae. The record is from Rfam by way of RNAcentral.